AGAGUUUGAUCCUGGCUCAGGACGAACGCUGGCGGCGUGCCUAAUACAUGCAAGUCGAGCGGAUCUUGUCCUUCGGGACAAGGUUAGCGGCGGACGGGUGAGUAACACGUAGGCAACCUGCCCUCAAGACUGGGAUAACCUCCGGAAACGGAUGCUAAUACCGGAUAUGCGGUCUCUCCUCCUGGAGGGAUCGGGAAAGACGGAGCAAUCUGUCGCUUGGGGAUGGGCCUGCGGCGCAUUAGCUAGUUGGUGGGGUAACGGCUCACCAAGGCGACGAUGCGUAGCCGACCUGAGAGGGUGAUCGGCCACACUGGGACUGAGACACGGCCCAGACUCCUACGGGAGGCAGCAGUAGGGAAUCUUCCGCAAUGGACGCAAGUCUGACGGAGCAACGCCGCGUGAGUGAGGAAGGCCUUCGGGUCGUAAAGCUCUGUUGCCAGGGAAGAACGGGUGGAAGAGUAACUGCUUCCGCCAUGACGGUACCUGAGAAGAAAGCCCCGGCUAACUACGUGCCAGCAGCCGCGGUAAUACGUAGGGGGCAAGCGUUGUCCGGAAUUAUUGGGCGUAAAGCGCGCGCAGGCGGCUUUGUAAGUCCGGUGUUUAAUCUUGGGGCUCAACCCCAAGUCGCACGGGAAACUGCAAGGCUUGAGUGCAGAAGAGGAAAGUGGAAUUCCACGUGUAGCGGUGAAAUGCGUAGAGAUGUGGAGGAACACCAGUGGCGAAGGCGACUUUCUGGGCUGUAACUGACGCUGAGGCGCGAAAGCGUGGGGAGCAAACAGGAUUAGGUACCCUGGUAGUCCACGCCGUAAACGAUGAAUGCUAGGUGUUAGGGGUUUUGGAUACCCUUGGGUGCCGAAGGUUAACACAAUUAAGGCAUUUCCCGCCUGGGGAGUACGCUCGCAAGGAGUGAACUUCAAAAGGAAAUUUGACGGGGGGACUCUGCAACAAGUCCAGUGGUAGGUAUUGUGGUUAAUUUCCGUAGGCUAACGCGAAGAACCCUUUACCAGGUCUUUGACAUUCCUCCCUGGAAUCAACCUGAGAGAUAGGGUGCCGGCCUUCGGGACCAGGAGAGACAGGUGGCUGCCAUAGGCCUGAUCG
Molecule: ribosomal RNA, 1098 nt
Filed under: uncultured Paenibacillus sp.
Lineage: Bacteria; Bacillati; Bacillota; Bacilli; Caryophanales; Paenibacillaceae
Description: bacterial SSU rRNA
Rfam family: Bacterial small subunit ribosomal RNA
Source: RNAcentral